RNAcentral lists this ribosomal RNA (137 nucleotides) under Sus scrofa (pig). The record is from RNAcentral. Lineage: Eukaryota; Metazoa; Chordata; Mammalia; Artiodactyla; Suidae.
ACCUUUGUCCAUACUACCUUGAAUGCGACCAAUCUUGCCUGAUCUUGGAAGCUAAGCAGAGCUGGGUCUGGUUAGUACUUAGAUGGGAGAAUUACUUAAUCUCUCUCUAUGCCUUAGUUUUCUGAUCUAUAAAAUUA